AUACCUUUCUCGGCCUUUUGGCUAAGAUCAAGUGUAGUAUCUGUUCUUAUCAGUUUAAUAUCUGAUAUGUGGCUCAUUGGGUCACACGAUAUUAAAUUUAUUUUUUGAGGGGAAGAGUCCACCACAUUAGCUUGCUAUUGGGUCUCUUGCAUGUCGCUUUUGCUUUGCACUAUAGCAAUUGCCUGGCGUACCCCAC
Molecule: small nuclear RNA, 196 nt
Organism: Trifolium pratense (red clover)
Lineage: Eukaryota; Viridiplantae; Streptophyta; Magnoliopsida; Fabales; Fabaceae
Product: U2 spliceosomal RNA
Exons: 1
Source: RefSeq, a predicted model, not a curated record